AGUGAACGCUGGCGGUAGGCCUAACACAUGCAAGUCGAACGGCAGCACAGUAAGAGCUUGCUCUUACGGGUGGCGAGUGGCGGACGGGUGAGGAAUACAUCGGAAUCUACUUUUUCGUGGGGGAUAACGUAGGGAAACUUACGCUAAUACAGCAUACGACCUACGGGUGAAAGCAGGGGAUCUUCGGACCUUGCGCGAUUGAAUGAGCCGAUGUCGGAUUAGCUAGUUGGCGGGGUAAAGGCCCACCAAGGCGACGAUCCGUAGCUGGUCUGAGAGGAUGAUCAGCCACACUGGAACUGAGACACGGUCCAGACUCCUACGGGAGGCAGCAGUGGGGAAUAUUGGACAAUGGGCGCAAGCCUGAUCCAGCCAUACCGCGUGGGUGAAGAAGGCCUUCGGGUUGUAAAGCCCUUUUGUUGGGAAAGAAAAGCAGCAGGUUAAUACCCCGCUGUUCUGACGGUACCGAAAGAAUAAGCACCGGCUAACUUCGUG
RNAcentral lists this ribosomal RNA (492 nucleotides) under uncultured bacterium. RNAcentral describes it as "partial 16S ribosomal RNA". It matches the Rfam family "Bacterial small subunit ribosomal RNA", at positions 29 to 507 of the family's 1533-position model. The record is from RNAcentral.